Molecule: ribosomal RNA, 188 nt
Filed under: uncultured bacterium
Lineage: Bacteria
Description: partial 16S ribosomal RNA
Rfam family: Bacterial small subunit ribosomal RNA
Source: RNAcentral
AGGCUGCAACUCGCCUACAUGAAGUCGGAGUUGCUAGUAAUCGCGGAUCAGAAUGCCGCGGUGAAUGCGUUCCCGGGUCUUGUACACACCGCCCGUCACACCAUGGAAGUUGGGGGCGCCCGAAGUUGCCUAAGAAAUAAGGUACCUAAGGCGAAACCAAUGACUGGGUGAAGUCGUAACAAGGUAUC